This 433-nucleotide ribosomal RNA is filed under the name uncultured bacterium. Its description in RNAcentral is "partial 16S ribosomal RNA". It matches the Rfam family "Bacterial small subunit ribosomal RNA", at positions 29 to 507 of the family's 1533-position model. The record is from RNAcentral.
AACGAACGCUGGCGGCAGGCCUAACACAUGCAAGUCGAGCGAGGACUUCGGUCCUAGCGGCGGACGGGUGAGUAACGCGUGGGAACGUGCCCUUUGCUUCGGAAUAGCCCUGGGAAACUGGGAGUAAUACCGGAUGAGCCCUUUGGGGGAAAGAUUUAUCGGUGAAGGAUCGGCCCGCGUUGGAUUAGGUAGUUGGUGGGGUAAUGGCCUACCAAGCCGACGAUCCAUAGCUGGUUUGAGAGGAUGAUCAGCCACACUGGGACUGAGACACGGCCCAGACUCCUACGGGAGGCAGCAGUAGGGAAUCUUAGACAAUGGGGGAAACCCUGAUCUAGCCAUGCCGCGUGAGCGAUGAAGGCCUUAGGGUUGUAAAGCUCUUUCAGCUGGGAAGAUAAUGACGGUACCAGCAGAAGAAGCCCCGGCUAACUCCGUG